Molecule: long non-coding RNA, 679 nt
Organism: Pyrgilauda ruficollis (rufous-necked snowfinch)
Lineage: Eukaryota; Metazoa; Chordata; Aves; Passeriformes; Passeridae
Exons: 3
Source: RefSeq, a predicted model, not a curated record
UGCAUGGCUCGUGGGGUGGGGGCUGUGGGCGCUGAUGUAGGACAGAACUGGGGGGGCACAGAGACCCUGGGGUUCGCCCCUUCUCCCCUCUCCUCCCGGGUGUCUGCAGGGCUGAAGGAGGGAGGCUCUGGGAGAGCGGCUGCGGCCAGAGGGAACCUGCCCUGCCUGGCACAGGGCACUGGGCUCCAGCCGGGAGGAGCUUUAGUGCCCGCACUCCUGCCCAGCUGCCAUUUUCUUUCUUAGGCUUUCUUCCAGUUGCCGUGGUAUUUCUUGCAGGACUCGUCAUAGGCGUUGCACUUACAGCACUGGCAAGGAAUAAGCCCGUGGACUUCACUAUAAAUUCCACGGGUCUGCAUCUCUGUGUUGGGGAAAAACAAGAGGACGAUCCUCCAAAGUGCAGCCCAUACAAUGAGGUCCUGAAGAAGGACUCCUGAUUACCAUGGCUAGUGGACAGAAACAGAUUUCCUUCCUUCCAAGAGGUCUGAUUGAUGUCUUCCCACUGCAGGAACUGGAAAGCUGUUGUAUUGUGCUUUUUGUUUUAUUAGUAGGUUUAUGGUUUGAUUUGUAAUUUGGUUGAUUUCUUUAUGCUGUUUUCCUUUUGUCUCCACCUUUUCCCAGUUAUUUUUUCAGCUAGUUUCUGUUUCUCCAGACUUUAGCAGUUUACUGAAACUGUUUUUCU